UAAGGGUUUAGUCCCAGCCCUUUUAUCGAUUAUAGCCAGUCUUACACAUGCCAGCCUCACCACACCAGUGAUAAAACCCUUAUAAAAAAUUAAGGUGAAAGUAUCAGGCACACAUCAUGUAGCCUACAACACUUAGCCUUUGCCACACCCCCACGGGCCUACAGCAGUGAUAAACAUUGAACAACCUAAGCAUAGCUUGAUUCAAAUAUGGUUUAUAAGAGUUGGUCUAUCUUGUGCCAGCCACCGCGGUUAUACAAGAAACUCAAGUCGAUAAACCUCGGCAUAAAGAGUGAUUACAAGAGUAUUUAAAUUUAACUAAAACUAUAAACCUGUUAUGCUGUUAUACGCCUUAAUAUACUAUAUACCCAAUAAAAAAUUAGUUUUAGGUUUUAUAAUUCUACUACCUCACGACCGCUAAAACUCAAACUGGGAUUAGAUACCCCACUAUGUUUAGCCACAAACCUUGUAUCAUCUACCCCACCGCCAGAGUACUACGAGCCCCAGCUUAAAACUCAAAGGACUUGGCGGUGCCCCAGACCCCACCAGAGGAGCCUGUUCUAUAAUCGAUAAUCCACGCAACACCUCACCAUCUUUAGCCAUAUCAGCUUAUAUACCACCGUCACCAGUUAACCUUGCAAAUGAUUUGUAGUUAGCAAGAAUGAUUUAAUCAAACACGUCAGGUCAAGGUGUAGCACAUAAGAUGGAAAGAUAUGGGCUACAUUUUCUUAAUUAAGAAUAUCACGAAUAAUAUUAUGAAAACAAUAAUUCAAGGUGGAUUUGGCAGUAAGAAAGUAUAAUAAUGCCUUUCUUAAGCCGGCCCUGAGGCGCGCACACACCGCCCGUCACCCUCAUCAAAACAAAUUAACUGUAUUAGAAGAGGAAAGUCGUAACAUGGUAAGUGUACUGGAAAGUGCUCUUGGUUUA
This 924-nucleotide non-coding RNA is filed under the name Geotrypetes seraphini (Gabon caecilian). Lineage: Eukaryota; Metazoa; Chordata; Amphibia; Gymnophiona; Dermophiidae. The record is from RNAcentral.